GUCGAGCGGAACGAUGGUAGCUUGCUACCAGGCGUCGAGCGGCGGACGGGUGAGUAAUGCUUAGGAAUCUGCCCAGUAGUGGGGGAUAGCCCGGGGAAACCCGGAUUAAUACCGCAUACGCCCUUUUGGGGAAAGCAGGGGAUCUUCGGACCUUGCGCUAUUGGAUGAGCCUAAGUCGGAUUAGCUAGUUGGUGGGGUAAAGGCUCACCAAGGCGACGAUCCGUAGCUGGUCUGAGAGGAUGAUCAGCCACAUCGGGACUGAGACACGGCCCGAACUCCUACGGGAGGCAGCAGUGGGGAAUAUUGGACAAUGGGGGCAACCCUGAUCCAGCCAUGCCGCGUGUGUGAAGAAGGCUUUCGGGUUGUAAAGCACUUUCAGUGAGGAGGAAGGCCUUAAGAUUAAUACUCUUAAGGAUUGACGUCACUCACAGAAGAAGCACCGGCUAACUCCGUGCCAGCAGCCGCGGUAAUACGGAGGGUGCAAGCGUUAAUCGGAAUUACUGGGCGUAAAGCGCGCGUAGGUGGUUGAGUAAGCGAGAUGUGAAAGCCCCGGGCUUAACCUGGGAACGGCAUUUCGAACUGCUCGACUAGAGUGUGGUAGAGGGUAGUGGAAUUUCCUGUGUA
This 624-nucleotide ribosomal RNA is filed under the name Marinobacter sp. Its description in RNAcentral is "bacterial SSU rRNA". It matches the Rfam family "Bacterial small subunit ribosomal RNA", at positions 61 to 677 of the family's 1533-position model. Lineage: Bacteria; Pseudomonadati; Pseudomonadota; Gammaproteobacteria; Pseudomonadales; Marinobacteraceae. The record is from RNAcentral.